Molecule: ribosomal RNA, 497 nt
Filed under: uncultured bacterium
Lineage: Bacteria
Description: partial 16S ribosomal RNA
Rfam family: Bacterial small subunit ribosomal RNA
Source: RNAcentral
GAUGAACGCUGGCGGCGUGCCUAAUACAUGCCAGUCGAGCGAACAGACGAGGAGCUUGCUCCUCUGACGUUAGCGGCGGACGGGUGAGUAACACGUGGAUAACCUACCUAUAAGACUGGGAUAACUUCGGGAAACCGGAGCUAAUACCGGAUAAUAUAUUGAACCGCAUGGUUCAAUAGUGAAAGACGGUUUUGCUGUCACUUAUAGAUGGAUCCGCGCCGCAUUAGCUAGUUGGUAAGGUAACGGCUUACCAAGGCAACGAUGCGUAGCCGACCUGAGCGGGUGAUCCGCCACACUGGAACUGAGACACGGUCCAGACUCCUACGGGAGGCAGCAGUAGGGAAUCUUCCGCAAUGGGCGAAAGCCUGACGGAGCAACGCCGCGUGAGUGAUGAAGGUCUUCGGAUCGUAAAACUCUGUUAUUAGGGAAGAACAAAUGUGUAAGUAACUAUGCACGUCUUGACGGUACCUAAUCAGAAAGCCACGGCUAACUACGUG